CAAUAUUCAAUAUCAACCGCAUAUGUUUCAGGCUUUCAGCUAUUGAAAGUUGGAGCUUCUUAAACUCAUAACCUAGUGAUAUGUAUCCGAGAUCUCUUGCGGCUGGUUGAGUCUCGUCAUGACAUCUGAUAGAUGAUAGAGUUUAUGUAUACCAUGUAUUGCUGCAUGACAGAAAACCUGGAACCUAUUGGCCAUAAAACCUUGGCAUGCAUCAGUAUCUAAUUCUCAGUUUCUUAAUCCAGUUUGCGAUAAGCUUACAUGGAGUUUGUUGUUCAGCUUCAGACACUAAUAUUACUAUAAUUCUAUUCAAGAGAAUCUGGAUGAGUAGUACUUGAUGAUCUUUUACACAAAUGACUUGCCGAUGCAAGAAGCUUUCAGUCUUGAGAGGAGCACUUGUCUUGCACACUACAGAAUGCAAUUCCUGCAGUUCAAGCAAAAACUUUCUUGAAGUGUUUCACUGUCAUGGAUUCCUUCAGCCAGUGAUGAAUUCUUAGAUAUCUUCAAGGCACCUGAAUCCAAAUACUUCCCAGUGUGGUUGAACCUUUGAUCUAAAAUUUGCACUUUGGAGCAUGCAUUCAUGAGUACCUAAACCCCUCUUCUUAUUGGAAUUACAUUGCCAGUGCCAACUGCAACUGCAACUUGUUUCAUCUCCAUCUCCGACAUAGUCAUGUCCUGCAGAUUUGUGGGAUCCAAAUAGGUCUAGUUUUAGUGAAUGAUCAGUGGUAAGUACAACACAUUCUCCAAGUCAAGCAUUGCACCAUUUUUAUCUGGAUUUUCCCUAUCCAGGCUGCAAGAAAUUGUGAUUGAACUCUGUCAGGAUAAUUACUACACUGCAUUGCACAGAAGAGGGCCUAAUUGGAUAUCAGCAUAAUAAGAUAAAAAAAAAUCUAAAAAACCUUGUUUGGUAAACCUCAAGUUAUUUGGGAACUGAUCCCACGGAAGAUUUGCUCAGCAGAAUGGAGAGAGAGAGUCUUUUGUCAGUAAGCCAGAGAUACAAAAAACUAAAAGCCUAACCCUUUGCCAUUGUUCUUUAUCUGAAUCUAAUUUUGUCAUAAUGCUAGAUCACAUAAAAAUAGUUUAAAUCUGGAUUUCUCUGCCUCUGUAAGCUUAGAACUGAUCAAUAUAGAACUAAAAAAAAGAAAAGAUAAACGAUGUGAAUUGCUUAAAAAUUCUACAAUUUUUUACUCAGAUCUCAAGGAUGAAAAAAGAUCAAAUAGCCGCAUUAUGAGAAUAUAUGGAAAGAAUUCAAAAAAAAAAAAAAGCUACUGGAUCCGGCAAUAAUUCUGCUGCAAUUUUCAACAGCAAUUUCUUCACAUAAAAGCUUAAAGAUGCUGAUGAGAAUGGAAAGUGAUCCACCGAGUAUGAAAAGGUCAGAGAUGGUUCAACUGCUGGACUACUUUUUCUAGCUCCAUGUGAGUCAAAUAGUGUCCUAAUCCAAGCUUUGUUUGAUUGAUACUAGAUACUAGAAAACUUUGACAGAAGAUUGCUUUUGUGUGAAGUCAUUAUGUAACGAAAUAAUCUUCAUGAAGUGAUAAACUAUAUUGCUCAUCUCAUAGGCUCAAUAAAUAAAUCAAAAAACCUUUGAAAGGAAAAAAAAACUCAAACCUUUUCUUCCCAUAUUCUCUCUUUUCUUUUUCUUUCUUGCAUGAGUUUUUAGUUUCACAUGUAAUAGUAAAAAAGUCUACCUGUCUUGUAUUAACCGCCUCUCAUCUAAUCUAAAUGAUAUGCUAUGCAAUAAUAUUAUUGUCUAAAUAUUUCAUGAUAUUAAAAAUAUAAAUCAGAUAAUAAUACAUGUCUUAUUUACUGACCGAAGUUUUUAGAUGCAGUGAUAGUAAUAAAUAUGACAAUAAUCCAUAUCAAGCAUGUAGAAUCAAUCCUAUGCAAACCUUUUUUCUUUUUUUUUGCAAGAAGAAAAACUAAUAUUUGAUGAGUCAAAUGAUUAUAGCAGACUCCGUUAGUAUCAGUGCGAAUCAAAAAAAUUAAAAUCAAGAGAUAAGUUAUCCUACAAAAACAAAAUCUGAAAUGUGUCUACUAACAGAAUUAGGAAACCAUUUUACAGGUACGUUUUCUUCUCUAAAAAAAUGAAAUAUAAAUAAACAUAUCCAAAUUACUCAAAUCAAAUUCCGAUGUUGCAAAUUUUCCACAGGACAAAACCCCAAUUCUUUGGUCACAACUCCUGUCCUAAAUUACACACCCAACCAUCACUCAACCUUUUUAGUUAGCCUUCCUUCUGAGUGGGAGUGUGGAAAAAGGCUGGACUUUUCCUUCCCAACCCGCAAAUGGCGAAGCUGAUGCAAAGCAUCCGCCUUUUGGUCGCCCUCGUCCUCCUCGCCCGGGCUGCCGCCGGAGAGGCGGGGGCCGAGCUGCCGCUCGGCUGGAUCCCCUCCUCCCUCUCCGGCUGCCGCGGCACUAUCGCGGAAUGCCUCGCCGGGGAGGAAUUCGAUCUCGGAUCUGAGGCAGGCCGCCGCAUCCUCGCCACCUCCAGCUACAUCAGCUACGGCGCCCUCAAGCGCGACACCGUGCCUUGCUCCCGUCGCGGCGCCUCCUACUACAACUGCCGCCCCGGCGCCCAGGCCAACCCCUACUCCCGCAGCUGCUCCGCCAUCACCCAGUGCCGCGGUGGAUGAGAGAAAAGCCAGAAAAAAAAAAGGAAGGAGAAGAACCAAUUUGGUAUGUAUUUGGUCACUCUGUUCGAGGUUUAAGUGAUUGGUGUUGUGUGUCAUGAAGCCAUUGUUGUAGCAGAUUUACUAUUUGGUUAUAAUUCUACUUUUUGUUUCCUUUUAAUGCAUCUUUCAGAAAAGAAUUGAUGAUUAAGACUUAGACUUAGUAGUUUCCUGGAAGAUAUCAAUAAUUUAUGUGUAAUUGAGAUGUUCUGCCUUGAUCUUUCAUAAGCUCUGUGUUGUCAUUUAUGAAGCCAUUGUUCUAGCAGUGUUGCUAUUUAGUUAUACUUCUGUACUCUUUCCUUCCGAUGCAUUUUAUCUCUGCAAAAGAAGACAUUUUUCAGGAAAAGAUAGAUGAUUUAGUCUAUGUGGGUUUUAUGUGUAAUUGAGUUUGAUCUUUCAAUUUGAUGUUCAUCAGGAAGAGGUGGGAGGGAAGAGGAAGGGGGGGGGGGGGGGGAAUCAUUAAAAGUUGAUCUGUUUAGAAUUUAUGCCUAGGAAAUGAUGAUAUGGAGCUUUGAUUGUUGGUAAUACAGUGAGAUUGGUGGGGGAAAUAAAUGCUUGUUUAAGGGUAAUGGAGUUGAAUUAUUGGUGAUAUUGACCUUUGGUAGUUGGUUGUCCCCCCUCACUGUUGUUCUUUGGAUGGAAGAGAAGGAUGACAGAUGGAGUGUCAAUGGGGAGAAGAGAAGCCCAAAGGAUCAUGGCAUUUAUAAAAUAAUCAUGAAAUUACUGGUCUCUUAUGGCUUUGAUAGGAUAGGUCAUGUGAAAUUUAGAGAGAGAGAGUAAAUUGGCAAAGAUUUGGCCAUGUUUACUACAAGCAAUCUCUUUGAAAGAUAAGCUUUCUAUGCAUAAAUGGAUUGAUGAUAAUGCAGAAGAGACUAACAGGACUAUAAAAAAAAAAUUUACAUGACAAUUUUACACCCUUCAGUAUUUAUUGUGAUGUUGAACAAUUCAAAUAUAGUGCUUUAUAUGUCUAGGAACAGAAAGCAUAGUAGCAGAAUUCAAAGUCCUUGUUCUGUUUUUGGUUUACUCCACCCACAGUCCCCAUCUCUUAGGUUAUAUAUUGAGGCCAGUUCUAACUUUGAACAUGGAAGGUGGUGAAGAAAAGAAAGAUGCUUUUCUCAACUAGAAAGAAGAAGCCUUACUGAUGCAGCUGAGUUUUCAUAUUAGUAAUUCCUGUUUUCAUGCCCAAAUAGUGUUGCCAAGACAAAAACUAUAUAAAUGUUGCUGAUGCAACUAUGAUUUUUCAUGCUAUUGAUUCCUAUUCUUGUUGUCUAGCUUUCAAAACCAACUUAAAUGCCUGAUUUCUACUAUCAGAAAUUAGCUACACAUGCUAUUAAAACCUUCAGAGCAGGACCAUUCAUUCAUAUGAUCAAUAAUGUUUCCAAUAAAAUAAUCUUGACUAGUAAAACAUUAAAAUCUAUUUGGUUCCCUGUAUUAACUGUCUACUUCAACUUUUUAUGAGGAAAGAAGAGAUUCUGUUCACCCAUAAGCCAUGGAAGAUGAGAAGGGGUCCAAAGAGACUUCCAGAUGAUUGUGGCAGACAAAUGAUCAGUUGUGUCAAGUGUCACUUUUGGGUUGUUGCCCUCCCAAAGAUGGCAUUUCUGGUGGGGAUAUCACCUAUAUUUUAAGGCAUUUAUGACCUACCAAGGUCAAUAGGACUGACAGAUACAAUCAUAGGACCAGAAACACAUCAUCCAUAAAAGACCCAUAUAAACCGACAACGGCAGCUAUACGAACCAACCAAUUAGCAAGUCCCAUCAGCUACCAACAGUGACACUGCAACGAUAGUGUCCUUUUAGACACACGCUGAUUUAUUGUCUAGAUUUUGUGUUAUCAGCGAUUUGUAAAGGAGGAACAAAGGACAAAAGAAACUCAUCUUGAUUUGUUUUGGUCUCUAUCUUGAGAUAAGUGUUCGGUGGUGAUCAUAAGGGAGGGGUUCUAUUUUUCUUGUAAAAGCGAACCUGGUCAUGCGUUCUUGUUUUUGUUCCUAAUGCAGAAAGUUGUAACAAAAGGAGUUUAUAAUUUACAGAAAUCUCUCUAUACAAAAAAUAAGACAAUAAAAUUUUACCAAGCAGCUUCAGUAUUAAAUUUGAUGUAUUAGAUCUGCACUAGAUCACUGAAUCAACUGGGGACCAUCUAAUGUGGUUAAAUCUGGUCAUGCUGGUGAUUCCUCAGGUGUUCCCUCUAAGCCACCAAUUAAUCUUCCUUGUUAGAUCUGGGUUAGACUCCAUAAGAUCUAAGGGGUUCAUGGCCUGUACCGACACGAACGAGCAAUCACAACAAAUCAUAAUAUCACAAAUAAUAUUUGAGAUCAGUUACAUAAGUCUUUUUGUUGCCAUUCAACUUCCUAAAAAAAAGGUGCCACUAAUACAAGAACAAGAGAACAAACAUGAAAAAGAAAUCAGAAUUCAGCGUUGUUGUCUGGGAGCCACCUGAAGGCCUUUCUGUGAACAGUAAGUUGAUUGUACCACCCAUUACUCUUUCAGACACAUGUUUGGUAACUUCUGUUGGCUUUCUCUGCUUCUUGUCAAAGUUCCAUCAAUGUUCUGUGAAGUUGAUGUUUUUUACCUUGUGCUGUUCCAAACAUCUUCUGACAAUUAAUUUUUAUUCAUUAGUUUUCUUUUUUCUUUCAUUUAGAGUUUCUUUGAUCUUUAUAGAGUUGGUUUAGAUGGCAUGUCAUGACACUGGAAUCUUUGACAAGUCUAACAAAAGUUGAUACUUUUGCAGAUUAAUUUUGCUAAUCAUAGAUGUCAAAUAAAGGUCUAAAGUAAAAUAGAGCUAAAAAUGAACUGUUAUCACUUACCUUUCCAACUAAUUUUGUUUUGUUCUCGUUGAAGCUAAGAAACCAGAGCUUUUCUUUGUGCACUGUAAUUGUGCUUUAACUAAUAUCACCGGUUAUUUCAGUCAAAUGUGAGUCUUUGCGUUGUGAAUCUUUGUUUCUUUGUCACUCAUUCAUGUUUUUCAACAGUUUCGAGCUGCCGUAUUGGUGAAAAUAUCAUGCACUGAUCAUCUUUCAUCACAAGCUUUCACGCGUAACACCAUGCCCUUACAGAUGCUCCAAGUCAAUUAAUUCCUCUUUGGUAACUCGCCUUCAAUGUCAUUCCAUGUUGGGUAGGUUAAACUAGAAAUAAACGCACUAGUCUAUCUUUGGAUGAUUCAAAUCUUGUUGGGUUUCAGUAUCCAAUGCUUGACUAAGUAGCCAUUUAACGAAUAAUUUUAAAUCAAAGAAUUUAAAGCUUGAAUCCACAAGCAAAACAUACCUGGUCGCUAAUUUGAAAACGAGCAGUCAUCUACAACGGCGAGGAACCAAAUGAUUGACGAGUUGAACUGUUUAUGGCCGACCCACGGAAUCGCAAGGUUUUGGUUGGUCGAUGUGGGACUUUAACAACCAUAUCACACACCAAAAAUCAUCUUGAGCUGAAGCAUGAACGGUCGAUAGAUCGAGAGCUGAAGUU
This 6115-nucleotide long non-coding RNA is filed under the name Musa acuminata (dwarf banana). Its description in RNAcentral is "long non-coding RNA (MACU_LNC000688)". Lineage: Eukaryota; Viridiplantae; Streptophyta; Magnoliopsida; Zingiberales; Musaceae. The record is from RNAcentral.